CCUACGGGAGUCAGCAGUGAGGACUAUUGGUCAAUGGGCGCGAGCCUGAACAAGCCAAGUAGCGUGAAGGAUGACUGCCCUACGGGUUGUAAACUUCUUUUAUAAAGGAAUAAAGUGAGGCACGUGUGCCUUUUUGUGUGUACUUUAUGAAUAAGGAUCGGCUAACUCCGUGCCAGCAGCAGCGGUAAUACGGAGGAUCCGAGCGUUGUCCGGAUUUAUUGGUUUUAAAGGGAGCGUAGAUGGGUUGUUAAGUCAGUUGUGAAAGUUUGCGGCUCAACCGUAAAAUUGCAAUUGAUACUGGCAGCCUUGAGUACAGUUGAGGUAGGCGGAAUGCGUGGUGUAGCGGUGAAAUGCUUAGAUAUCACGAAGAACUCCGAUUGCGAAGGCAGCUUACUAAACUGCCACUGACAUUGAUGCUCGAAAGUGUGGGUAUCAAACAGGAUUAGAUACCCCGGUAGUC
This 460-nucleotide ribosomal RNA is filed under the name uncultured bacterium. RNAcentral's name for it is "partial 16S ribosomal RNA". It matches the Rfam family "Bacterial small subunit ribosomal RNA", at positions 338 to 795 of the family's 1533-position model. The record is from RNAcentral.